Cicer arietinum (chickpea) is the source of this 173-nucleotide non-coding RNA. The record is from RefSeq and is a predicted model, not a curated record. Lineage: Eukaryota; Viridiplantae; Streptophyta; Magnoliopsida; Fabales; Fabaceae.
GACAAUCUUGAAGCACAGCAUAGAUAUCUGACAUGGAGAGCCGAAAAGGAUCCGAGACAAGGUGUUUUGAAGAAAUUGAUAGGUGACACACUUGCCAAGGAUUUAUUAAGAAGCUUUCUCUUUAAUGGAGUCAACGAACUAGGAAGCAAAAAGUUCCAUGACUAUUUUCUACA